RNAcentral lists this ribosomal RNA (254 nucleotides) under uncultured bacterium. Its description in RNAcentral is "partial 16S ribosomal RNA". It matches the Rfam family "Bacterial small subunit ribosomal RNA", at positions 524 to 776 of the family's 1533-position model. The record is from RNAcentral.
UACGUAGGGGGGCUAGCGUUGUCCGGAUUUAUUGGGCGUAAAGAGCGUGUAGGCGGCCAGGUAGGUCUGCUGUGAAAACUCGAGGCUCAACCUCGAGACGUCGGCGGAAACCAUCUGGCUAGAGUCCGGAAGAGGAGAGUGGAAUUCCUGGUGUAGCGGUGAAAUGCGCAGAUAUCAGGAAGAACACCCGUGGCGAAGGCGGCUCUCUGGGACGAUACUGACGCUGAGACGCGAAAGCGUGGGGAGCGAACAGG